This 28-nucleotide non-coding RNA is filed under the name Macaca fascicularis (crab-eating macaque). The record is from RNAcentral. RNAcentral also lists the same sequence under 1 other name. Lineage: Eukaryota; Metazoa; Chordata; Mammalia; Primates; Cercopithecidae.
UGGGACAGGUUCAUGGUCGCUCAAGGGA